RNAcentral lists this ribosomal RNA (1328 nucleotides) under Klebsiella sp. RNAcentral's name for it is "bacterial SSU rRNA". It matches the Rfam family "Bacterial small subunit ribosomal RNA", at positions 90 to 1415 of the family's 1533-position model. The record is from RNAcentral. Lineage: Bacteria; Pseudomonadati; Pseudomonadota; Gammaproteobacteria; Enterobacterales; Enterobacteriaceae.
GACGAGCGGCGGACGGGUGAGUAAUGUCUGGGAAACUGCCUGAUGGAGGGGGAUAACUACUGGAAACGGUAGCUAAUACCGCAUAACGUCGCAAGACCAAAGUGGGGGACCUUCGGGCCUCAUGCCAUCAGAUGUGCCCAGAUGGGAUUAGCUAGUAGGUGGGGUAACGGCUCACCUAGGCGACGAUCCCUAGCUGGUCUGAGAGGAUGACCAGCCACACUGGAACUGAGACACGGUCCAGACUCCUACGGGAGGCAGCAGUGGGGAAUAUUGCACAAUGGGCGCAAGCCUGAUGCAGCCAUGCCGCGUGUGUGAAGAAGGCCUUCGGGUUGUAAAGCACUUUCAGCGGGGAGGAAGGCGGUGAGGUUAAUAACCUCAUCGAUUGACGUUACCCGCAGAAGAAGCACCGGCUAACUCCGUGCCAGCAGCCGCGGUAAUACGGAGGGUGCAAGCGUUAAUCGGAAUUACUGGGCGUAAAGCGCACGCAGGCGGUCUGUCAAGUCGGAUGUGAAAUCCCCGGGCUCAACCUGGGAACUGCAUUCGAAACUGGCAGGCUAGAGUCUUGUAGAGGGGGGUAGAAUUCCAGGUGUAGCGGUGAAAUGCGUAGAGAUCUGGAGGAAUACCGGUGGCGAAGGCGGCCCCCUGGACAAAGACUGACGCUCAGGUGCGAAAGCGUGGGGAGCAAACAGGAUUAGAUACCCUGGUAGUCCACGCUGUAAACGAUGUCGAUUUGGAGGUUGUGCCCUUGAGGCGUGGCUUCCGGAGCUAACGCGUUAAAUCGACCGCCUGGGGAGUACGGCCGCAAGGUUAAAACUCAAAUGAAUUGACGGGGGCCCGCACAAGCGGUGGAGCAUGUGGUUUAAUUCGAUGCAACGCGAAGAACCUUACCUGGUCUUGACAUCCACAGAACUUUCCAGAGAUGGAUUGGUGCCUUCGGGAACUGUGAGACAGGUGCUGCAUGGCUGUCGUCAGCUCGUGUUGUGAAAUGUUGGGUUAAGUCCCGCAACGAGCGCAACCCUUAUCCUUUGUUGCCAGCGGUCCGGCCGGGAACUCAAAGGAGACUGCCAGUGAUAAACUGGAGGAAGGUGGGGAUGACGUCAAGUCAUCAUGGCCCUUACGACCAGGGCUACACACGUGCUACAAUGGCAUAUACAAAGAGAAGCGACCUCGCGAGAGCAAGCGGACCUCAUAAAGUAUGUCGUAGUCCGGAUUGGAGUCUGCAACUCGACUCCAUGAAGUCGGAAUCGCUAGUAAUCGUAGAUCAGAAUGCUACGGUGAAUACGUUCCCGGGCCUUGUACACACCGCCCGUCACACCAUGGGAGUGGGU